Molecule: non-coding RNA, 3727 nt
Organism: Pantherophis guttatus
Lineage: Eukaryota; Metazoa; Chordata; Lepidosauria; Squamata; Colubridae
Source: RefSeq, a predicted model, not a curated record
AUGCGUCUUAAUUCGGUCCCGUUCGAAAACGGCCACCCGUCGAACGCCGCCGGGAAAGGGAACCAAAUAGGAAGUUUUGGUCUUCGUUACUUUCUUGCGUGGAGAAGCAUUAGAAAACCGGAACAGGCGGGAUUCGACAAGCCGGAAGGGGCGGGGCGGAGGAGGCCCUUACUGUGGUGGAGUGAAAGAGAGAGAGAGGUUCGCGCGCGUUUUGGGCCUGCUUGGGAUUGUGGGCCUUUACGCGUGCCGCUCUUCCCCCCCCUUCCCCCCGAUUCUCUCCGUGGCGCUCCUGAAACUAUGUCGGAAGGAGUAGACCUCAUUGAUAUCUACGCCGACGAGGAGUUUAACCAGGACUCUGAAUUUAGUAAUACUGACCAGAUGGAUCUAUAUGAUGAUGUGCUAGCUGCCAGCUCACAACCUUCUGAAAGUUGCACUAGCAGCUCUGAGCCACCAAUUGAAAGCCGCCAAGAACAAUCUCCUAAGUCAAACAGCAAAUCGCCUGCUAUUUUGUAUACAUACAGUGGACUGCGCAAUAAAAGGGCUGCUGUUUAUGUGGGCAGCUUUUCUUGGUGGACAACUGACCAGCAAUUGACCAGAAUAAUCCGUUCUAUAGGUGUUUAUGAUGUUGUGGAGCUGAAAUUUGCUGAGAACAGAGCCAAUGGCCAAUCUAAAGGAUACGCAGAAGUGGUUGUUGCUUCUGAGAACUCAGUCCACAAACUUCUAGAGCUGCUACCAGGGAUGAUUCUAAAUGGAGAUAAAAUAGAAGUCAAGUUGGCUACCCGGCAAAACCUUGCACAGUUUGAGGCACAAGCCCGAAAACGGGUGCCUCCAAUGGCUCACUCAAGGGAUUCCUUAGACUCUCUUGAUGGCCGAGCAACUCCAACAGAAAAUGCUAUCCCACCACCACGCAUUGAGAAACCUCCCGUUUUACCUUUCUUCAACCGUCCUCCCUCUGCGCUUCCUCUGAUGGGGCUGCCCCCUCCACCCAUACCCCCCCCUCCACCACUUUCUUCAAGUUUUGGAGUUCCCCCUCCCCCUCCCGGUAUCCAUUACCAGCAUCUCAUGCCUCCCCCACCCCGACUUCCCCCCCACUUAUCUGUGCCACCUCCAGGGUCAGUGCCACCUGCCCUGCACCUCAAUCCAGCUUUCUUCCCACCCCCAAAUGCAGCCAUGGGGCCUCCACCAGAUGCCUACAGCAAGGCUUCUGCACCAUAUAAUCACAGCAGCAGGGAGUUGGGCCCAUUACCUCCACCUGUUGGCGAAGCAGAAUUUGAUGAUAUCAUGAACAGGAACCGAGCAAUUUCCAGCAGUGCCAUAUCUAAGGCUGUAUCUGGGGCCAGUGCAGGGGAUUACAGUGAUGCUAUUGAGACCCUGCUUACAGCCAUUGCUGUAAUUAAACAGUCCCGUGUAGCAAAUGAUGAGCGGUGUCGAGUCCUUAUCUCUUCACUUAAGGAUUGCCUUCAUGGCAUUGAAGCCAAGUCUUACAGCAUGGGCACUGGCAGCAGCAGCAGUUCCUCAAGAAAAAGACAUCGGUCACGUGAUAGGUCGCCAAGUCGGUCACGUGAGAGCAGUAGGAGGCACCGAGAGGUGGUUCAUAAUGAAGAUCGACAUGAGGACUAUUUCCAAGAAAGAAGCCGGGAGCACGAGAGGCACAGAGACAGGGACAGAGAAAGAGAUCGGCAUCAUUGAGAGAAGGAAAAUGACCACAUUGCUGGCCAUGCCCCCUGUGACCCCAAGGCAAGGCAGGAAAGCGAACUGUGGCCCCUGGGCCCAAAAGGAUUAUCCAGCACUGCUGUAGAUAAUCAGACCAGAGCUUCUAAUUUAACUACUUAAACAAGAAGGAAAUCCUGAAGUACAUUUGUGCAGAAUCUGCUUUGUUCUUUCCUGGGGAUGCUAGAAGCAUACAGUGUUUUUAUGGACUUAUAUCCUGUCCUUAAUCAAGACUAAAGGAUGGGGGAUUCUCCACCCACUCCUUCCCGCUGCCCUCUGCUCUUUCCAGACCCCUUGGAAGUGACUUUGCCUGUAGGACUCCAUUUGGCACACUAUGGCACUAAGACUUGAGUUCUUCCUAAGUGUGCUGCUGCUGCUGUUGCUUGAUGGAGGAACACUGAAUGACUUGGAGUUUGGGAGGGGUUGUCUGAGCCACUGUGACCAGGGGGCAAUUUCAAUCCAUGGAUUCUUGGACCCAAAGAGAAUGGUGCUUUCCACAGAGGUCUGUCACCUCUUUCCUUUCCAUGGCGUUAUAGAAACACCCGGGGAGGAACACAUCCAACUUCUCUCCUGUAGGAAGACCUCAUGCUUCAGCACAGCACAAGGUAUAUUACCAUAGCCUCACUGGAGCUUAUGUUCAAAAUUCAAACUGCAUUGUCUUCUUAGGCAUCAGUGCAUAGAGUCCUCCUUAAUUUUUGAUCCUUUUUCCAAAGCAGCUUCAGUCUUGCACUCUAACAGCUUUGUACACAGCUUAGAAAAGUUUUGUUUUCCUUUUCUGGGAUGAGAACAGGCUACUUGCUGCUUCCAGUCAUGCCUCUUCUUAAUUCCUGAAAGUUGUCAUACCAGUUUAACCUAACUUCUUUUAGGAGGGGCUGUGCUGUUAAGCUUGCCCACAAAAUUGAGUCUCCCUUAAAAAAAUAAAUCUACCUUUCACUAUUGCAAGAGCUCUAUUCACAGGUGAUUCUCUGACAAAUUCCUUGCUUUGUUUCAUGCAUUAGCUGCUCUGAUUGUAAUUUCUUACACAAACAUUUGUUUUCAAGGCCAUUCUUUCCCAGCAUAUCACCUUCCUUGUUGUAGAGGAAGAGUUGUGACUAGAUACAGAAACAUGGAAUUGGGACAAAGUCAAGCUGAGGCUUCUGGACAUUAUUGAUUAGAGCACACCUUGAGCAUUUUAAAUUUUGUGUGAUGUAAGUGUUGAAUUAAGGUCCAAAACUACCCUUGCUCCCAUUCUCAUUUGGAAUUUUCCCUUUGGUGGGAAUCACUCAUGACAUAAUAAAACCUUAGUGGUCUCUGGCAUGCCAGCCUAGGAAAAGACAAAGUUAAAUUUUUAUUAUGUAAACUUAGAACGAGGAUUCCUGGAUCCAAUGAGCCUUUUGGCUGGCAACCAAUUGAAACCAGAAACACAUUACAUGGGGAUCCUUAUGGAAAAACAGUGGCUGCAGAAAUCUUGAUUCAAGUGUCAUCUUCGUGAUGGAACUUUUUGAGGUGUGCAUUUUAGUUUUCAGUGCUCCAUCCUGGCACCCCAGUUACACAAAAUCAAGUUACAUACCCUGGAUUUCUUUAGUAAGACCAAGCAUCUAUUACAUUGUGACUAUCCAACUGCAUGGCGAAGCCCUCCUCAUAGAAAGAUCUGUCUUUUUCUCAGAGAACAAUUGGAUAGAUUAAAGAGGAUGACUGUAUCACCAAGGGAUAUGAUGCCUCCUUUUGUGCUGUUGAUCCAAGAGGGUCUAAGAUCAAUGUUUUUUAAAAGAGAAAACAAAAAGUUAAUGUAAGCCAGCGGAGAGCGCUUAAACUGUAAAGUAUACAAUAUGGAUUGGAAAAGUUGCUUUUUACCUAAUGGGACAUUUUUAUUUUGUUUUGAAAUAAUGGAAGAAAAAGAAGAAGAAAAACAGACAACAGAAAACAUAACUUCAGUUCCCUUCUACUCUCCCACUCCUGUUCUUCGUGAUUUGAUUUGUUUGUCUUUUUCUGAUAGGUUGGAAAUUGUGUAAUAAACUUGAUGAUAUUGUCAAUCUUU